CAUACAUUUGAAUCCCAAAAUAAAUUUUACAAGUGGUCUCUGUGUGACAGUCAAGGUUCAGUCACAGGCUCAUAGACGUCACUAAACAGAUCCUGCUGUGCUGCUCUCACUGUGGAUGACUGCCAAGUGCUGUGGAGUUUGAACACUAAUUGGGCCAGCAGGAGCCGAUAGAUGCAGACAGAUCCAAAGGUCCCAGUCCCUCAUUGUGACGUACAUGAUGGGAGUCAAAUCAAUGAGAUGAGGCUGAAUCAAUGAGAUGUCAGUGUUAUCUUAUCAUUGCCUGUUGCAGCUUAAUGAUGAUCUCGCAGCUGCAGGUUAUAAUUUGACCAGACAAAAUAAAGGGGAGAAGACAAAGCUGAGAAAUGAAACCCAACAUCGUGCUGAGUGAAAGAAGAAGGUUGCUCAACUC
Long non-coding RNA from Carassius carassius (crucian carp), 409 nucleotides. RefSeq lists it as uncharacterized. Lineage: Eukaryota; Metazoa; Chordata; Actinopteri; Cypriniformes; Cyprinidae. The transcript has 3 exons. The record is from RefSeq and is a predicted model, not a curated record.